CCGGGAUGGUGCUACGGUAAAAACACGAAGCUCGAUUUCGCUCAUUGAAUAGUUUCGUGAAAAUUAAAUCUAUGCUAAUUAAAUAUUUAUUUUUUAGCUAAUAUUUAUUUCAAAACAUUUUGAUUUUGAAAAUUGGCCAGGCUAGUGCAACGUACGUCGAGUCUGCUCUGGACACGUCAAGAAAGUGCAUACUUUAAAUUUAGAAAGCCGUGAUGUAUAUAAGGUAUGCAGAUGGUCCUCACGAAUGCAACAUUUUACUAUAUCAAAGGCCAUCGAAGAAAAAAGGUUGGGCAUCACUGGACUAAAAUAACAAGCAUCGAAGA
This is a long non-coding RNA of Myzus persicae (green peach aphid), 323 nucleotides long. RefSeq lists it as uncharacterized. The transcript is spliced from 2 exons. The record is from RefSeq and is a predicted model, not a curated record. Lineage: Eukaryota; Metazoa; Arthropoda; Insecta; Hemiptera; Aphididae.